Molecule: ribosomal RNA, 375 nt
Filed under: uncultured bacterium
Lineage: Bacteria
Description: bacterial SSU rRNA
Rfam family: Bacterial small subunit ribosomal RNA
Source: RNAcentral
UACGUAGGGUCCGAGCGUUAAUCGGAAUUACUGGGCGUAAAGCGUGCGCAGGUGGUUUUGUAAGCCAGAUGUGAAAUCCCCGGGCUUAACCUGGGAACUGCAUUUGGUACUGCAAGGCUAGAGUACGGCAGAGUGAGGUGGAAUUCCAGGUGUAGCAGUGAAAUGCGUAGAGAUCUGGAGGAACACCGAUGGCGAAGGCAGCCUCCUGGGCUAGUACUGACGCUCAUGCACGAAAGCGUGGGGAGCAAACAGGAUUAGAUACCCUGGUAGUCCACGCCCUAAACGAUGACGACUAGUUGUUGGGGAUUUAACAUCCUUAGUAACGUAGCUAACGCGUGAAGUCGUCCGCCUGGGGAGUACGGUCGCAAGAUUAAA